AAGCCAUGCAUCCAACCUUGUUUCAGCGCUGGCAAUGACAAGUUCUAUGACUAGUUGGAUGUUUCUACCGGUGUAGAAGCUAUGCUGGAUGUAUGCAAUAUUUGUGGUGGAUGUCACUCAUCUGAACGUAUAGAUGUUUGGAUACGCUAGUUGUACUGUAAAUUUAUAUUGGCCUAUCAAUAUCUAUAGCAAAAUUAGUUGGACUACAGGGGG
RNAcentral lists this long non-coding RNA (213 nucleotides) under Elaeis guineensis (African oil palm). RNAcentral describes it as "long non-coding RNA (EGUI_LNC017699)". Lineage: Eukaryota; Viridiplantae; Streptophyta; Magnoliopsida; Arecales; Arecaceae. The record is from RNAcentral.